AACUUUCGAUUAUUGAUGUACUUCUCAUCAAUUUUCAAUUAUUUGAUACACUUCUCAUCAAAAUUCUUUGGAACACUUAUCUUCAAAUUUUAAAAAAGAAUUUUGUCUUCUUCAAUAAUAUUUAUUUACUCAUUCUUCAAUUUACAAUUUUUUUUGUAUCUGCCUAAAUCUUUUAUAAGAAAAACAUUGUGAUUUACCUUUAUACUAACAAUCUUUUUCAUCAUGAUUAUUUUUCUUGCAUACUCCGCAUGAUGAAAAUUUUCUUUAUUUUGAUGCUGAUGAAGACUUGUUUAACAUCAUAGCGAUAAAAACUCACUCAAUUAUUUUUCAU
Molecule: long non-coding RNA, 331 nt
Filed under: Carica papaya (papaya)
Lineage: Eukaryota; Viridiplantae; Streptophyta; Magnoliopsida; Brassicales; Caricaceae
Description: long non-coding RNA (CPAP_LNC008856)
Source: RNAcentral